GUGGGGAAUAUUGGACAAUGGGCGAAAGCCUGAUCCAGCCAUGCCGCGUGAGUGAUGAAGGCCUUAGGGUUGUAAAGCUCUUUCAGUAGGGAAGAUAAUGACGGUACCUACAGAAGAAGCCCCGGCUAACUUCGUGCCAGCAGCCGCGGUAAUACGAAGGGGGCUAGCGUUGUUCGGAUUUACUGGGCGUAAAGCGCACGUAGGCGGAUUGGUCAGUUAGAGGUGAAAUCCUGGAGCUCAACUCCAGAACUGCCUUUAAUACUGCCAGUCUAGAGUCCAGAAGAGGUGAGUGGAACUCCUAGUGUAGAGGUGUAAUUCGUAGAUAUUAGGAAGAACACCAGUGGCGAAGGCGGCUCACUGGUCUGGUACUGACGCUGAGGUGCGAAAGCGUGGGGAGCAAACAGGAUUAGAAACCCUUGUAGUCC
This 425-nucleotide ribosomal RNA is filed under the name uncultured bacterium. RNAcentral's name for it is "bacterial SSU rRNA". It matches the Rfam family "Bacterial small subunit ribosomal RNA", at positions 354 to 796 of the family's 1533-position model. The record is from RNAcentral.